ACGAACGCUGGCGGCGUGCCUAAUACAUGCAAGUCGAGCGAAGUUUUUCUGGUGCUUGCACCGGAAAAACUUAGCGGCGAACGGGUGAGUAACACGUAAAGAACCUGCCUCAUAGACUGGGACAACUAUUGGAGACGAUAGCUAAUACCGGAUAAUAGCAUUAACUGCAUGGUUGAUGUUUAAAAGUUGGUUUUGCUAACACUAUGAGAUGGCUUUGCGGUGCAUUAGCUAGUUGGUGGGGUAAAGGCCUACCAAGGCGACGAUGCAUAGCCGACCUGAGAGGGUGAUCGGCCACACUGGGACUGAGACACGGCCCAGACUCCUACGGGAGGCAGCAGUAGGGAAUCUUCCGCAAUGGGCGAAAGCCUGACGGAGCAACGCCGCGUGAGUGAAGAAGGAUUUCGGUUCGUAAAGCUCUGUUGUUAGGGAAGAAUGAUUGUGUAGUAACUAUACACAGUAGAGACGGUACCUAACCAGAAAGCCACGGCUAACUACGUG
RNAcentral lists this ribosomal RNA (498 nucleotides) under uncultured bacterium. Its description in RNAcentral is "partial 16S ribosomal RNA". It matches the Rfam family "Bacterial small subunit ribosomal RNA", at positions 29 to 507 of the family's 1533-position model. The record is from RNAcentral.